GCCGGGGAUUAGUGGCGAACGGGUGAGUAACACGUGGGCAAUCUGCCCUGCACUCUGGGAUAAGCCCGGGAAACUGGGUCUAAUACCGGAUACGACACUCCGAGGCAUCUUGGGGUGUGGAAAGUUCCGGCGGUGCAGGAUGAGCCCGCGGCCUAUCAGCUUGUUGGUGGGGUAAUGGCCUACCAAGGCGACGACGGGUAGCCGGCCUGAGAGGGUGACCGGCCACACUGGGACUGAGACACGGCCCAGACUCCUACGGGAGGCAGCAGUGGGGAAUAUUGCACAAUGGGCGAAAGCCUGAUGCAGCGACGCCGCGUGAGGGAUGACGGCCUUCGGGUUGUAAACCUCUUUCAGCAGGGAAGAAGCGAAAGUGACGGUACCUGCAGAAGAAGCACCGGCUAACUACGUGCCAGCAGCCGCGGUAAUACGUAGGGUGCGAGCGUUGUCCGGAAUUAUUGGGCGUAAAGAGCUCGUAGGCGGUUUGUCGCGUCGAUUGUGAAAGCCCGGGGCUUAACCCUGGGUCUGCAGUCGAUACGGGCAGGCUAGAGUU
RNAcentral lists this ribosomal RNA (550 nucleotides) under Streptomyces carpaticus. RNAcentral's name for it is "bacterial SSU rRNA". It matches the Rfam family "Bacterial small subunit ribosomal RNA", at positions 84 to 648 of the family's 1533-position model. The record is from RNAcentral. Lineage: Bacteria; Bacillati; Actinomycetota; Actinomycetes; Kitasatosporales; Streptomycetaceae.